CCUACGGGAGGCAGCAGUGAGGAAUAUUGGUCAAUGGGCGAGAGCCUGAACCAGCCAAGUCGCGUGAAGGAUGACGGCCCUACGGGUUGUCAACUUCUUUUGUCAGGGAGCAAUUGGGUCCACGCGUGGGCUUAGCGAGCGUACCUGAAGAAAAAGCAUCGGCUAACUCCGUGCCAGCAGCCUCGGUAAUACGGAGGAUGCGAGCGUUAUCCGGAUUUAUUGGGUUUAAAGGAUGCGUAGGCGGAAUAGCAAGUCAGCGGUAAAAGUUUGUGGCUCAACCAUAAAAUUGCCGUUGAAACUGGAAGACUUGAGGGUGUUUGAGGUAGGCGGAAUGCGUGGUGUAGCGGUGAAAUGCAUAGAUAUCACGCAGAACUCCGAUUGCGAAGGCAGCUUACUAAGCCAUAACUGACACUGAAGCACGAAAGCGUGGGGAUCAAACAGGAUUAGAUACCCCAGUAGUC
Molecule: ribosomal RNA, 461 nt
Filed under: uncultured bacterium
Lineage: Bacteria
Description: partial 16S ribosomal RNA
Rfam family: Bacterial small subunit ribosomal RNA
Source: RNAcentral